UGUUUUUAUUUAUUGCUCUGCCAGCUUGUUUUUUUUGCAAUUAUCCAUUUAUAACAUGCAUUUAAUACGCUGCUUAACUAAUCAGAGAAGGCCACACUCUGUUUUAACAUAAAUUAAACAGUUAAAUAAAUCCUCCCUGCUUUYGUUCUGUGUCUCCGAGAUUUUCAGGGCUCUUUCUUCAGCGAAGACUUCGUUCCGCAGAGUGAAUGCUCCUCGGAGAGGUGGCAGCAAGGAUGGCUGGAGCAGGGAGCGUUUUGCAAGGGGUGGAUGGUUCCCCUCUCCUCCCACUSCUGUGUYGGACCGAAGGCCUUUUCCAUCUCCRCCUGUGACUGCUUUUACAUCAGCCCACCUAACAUUUCUUCUAUGCAUUGCUGUAGUCUUCAUCUUCAGGUGCUUUAAUUCUGCCCAGAUGGAUGAGAAUAGAUGAAUGUCUUCAUCCUGCAGACCAAAGGAAGUAGUAAUCCACUUCAUCUGUCRCGAUCUCCCAUUGGUAAGCCCUUGUAAUGUUAUACCCUAUAUACUCUUGCCUACAACUAGUCUUGCUGUCUGAAUCUGCUGUGAAAUCUCAUCCUCUAUCAGAUCAGAUUAAUGGGCUUGCAUCUUAUGUUUAAAUACAGCCCCCACAUAUGCUGUACUCCAAACCAAUAAUGUCUCGAGGCAAUAAAAUGAAUUGCUAGCAGAAAUGCUUUCCCUUG
This 695-nucleotide long non-coding RNA is filed under the name Dromaius novaehollandiae (emu). RNAcentral's name for it is "lncRNA (ENSDNVG00000007631.1)". Lineage: Eukaryota; Metazoa; Chordata; Aves; Casuariiformes; Dromaiidae. The record is from RNAcentral.